CCUACGGGUGGCAGCAGUGGGGGAUAUUGCACAAUGGGGGAAAGCCUGAUGCAGCGACGUCGCGUGUGGGAAUACUGUCCUCUGGAUUGUAAACCACUGUCCCCAGGGACGAAGAUGACGGUAUCUGGGGAGGAAGCUCCGGCUAACUACGGGCCAGCAGCUGCGGGAAUACGUGGGGAGCAAGCGUUGUCCGGAAUUACUGGGUGUAAAGGGAGCGUAGGCGGGAUGGCAAGUUGGGGGUUAAAUCUACGGGCUCAACUGGAACUCGCACUUAAAACUGCUAUUCUUGAGUGAAGUAGAGGCAGGCGGAAUGCGUAGUGUAGCGGUGAAAUGCGUAGAUAUUAGGAAGAACACCAGUGGCGAAGGCGGCCUGCUGGGCUUUUACUGACGCUGAGGCUCGAAAGUGUGGGGAGCGAACAGGAUUAGAUACCCGAGUAGUC
Molecule: ribosomal RNA, 440 nt
Filed under: uncultured bacterium
Lineage: Bacteria
Description: partial 16S ribosomal RNA
Rfam family: Bacterial small subunit ribosomal RNA
Source: RNAcentral